GCCUGCAUGCAGCAACGCCGCGUGAGGGAUGACGGCCUCUCGGGUUGUAAACCUCUUUUAGUAGGGAAGAAGCGAAAGUGACGGUACCUGCAGAAAAAGCACCGGCUAACUACGUGCCAGCAGCCGCGGUAAUACGUAGGGUGCAAGCGUUGUCCGGAAUUAUUGGGCGUAAAGAGCUCGUAGGCGGUUUGUCGCGUCUGCUGUGAAAUCCCGAGGCUCAACCUCGGGCUUGCAGUGGGUACGGGCAGACUAGAGUGCGGUAGGGGAGAUUGGAAUUCCUGGUGUAGCGGUGGAAUGCGCAGAUAUCAGGAGGAACACCGAUGGCGAAGGCAGAUCUCUGGGCCGUAACUGACGCUGAGGAGCGAAAGCAUGGGGAGCGAACAGGAUUAGAUACCCUGGUAGUCCAUGCCGUAAACGUUGGGCGCUAGAUGUAGGGACCUUUCCACGGUUUCUGUGUCGUAGCUAACGCAUUAAGCGCCCCGCCUGGGGAGUACGGCCGCAAGGCUAAAACUCAAAGGAAUUGACGGGGGCCCGCACAAGCGGCGGAGCAUGCGGAUUAAUUCGAUGCAACGCGAAGAACCUUACCAAGGCUUGACAUACACCGGAAACGGCCAGAGAUGGUCGCCCCCUUGUGGUC
This 637-nucleotide ribosomal RNA is filed under the name Curtobacterium sp. Ri2Pt_4168. Its description in RNAcentral is "bacterial SSU rRNA". It matches the Rfam family "Bacterial small subunit ribosomal RNA", at positions 381 to 1027 of the family's 1533-position model. Lineage: Bacteria; Bacillati; Actinomycetota; Actinomycetes; Micrococcales; Microbacteriaceae. The record is from RNAcentral.